CGGAGUAAUACAUAAGCAACGUGCCCAGAAGACCGGGAUAGCCCCUCGAAAGAGGGAUUAAUACCGGAUGUGGCUAUCGGAUCACAUGUUUUGAUAAUUAAAACGAGUAAUCGGCUUCUGGAGCGGCUUGUGGCCUAUCAGCUUGUUGGUGAGGUAACGGCUCACCAAGGCUUCGACGGGUAGCGGGUCUGAGAGGACGAUCCGCCCGACUGGGACUGAGACACGGCCCAG
This 231-nucleotide ribosomal RNA is filed under the name uncultured bacterium. RNAcentral describes it as "partial 16S ribosomal RNA". It matches the Rfam family "Bacterial small subunit ribosomal RNA", at positions 106 to 334 of the family's 1533-position model. The record is from RNAcentral.